This 868-nucleotide long non-coding RNA is filed under the name Hordeum vulgare. RNAcentral describes it as "long non-coding RNA (HVUL_LNC019467)". The record is from RNAcentral. Lineage: Eukaryota; Viridiplantae; Streptophyta; Magnoliopsida; Poales; Poaceae.
CAGUGCAGACGACCACACCAUCAAUUACUGAACCAGGUCAGGUUGAUACUACUAGCAUGGCAUAUUGUUCGGAUCAACCCUCACGGCCUAUGAGCGAGUGACCAGGAUUCUAGGUAACUGCGGUAAGUUUGCGCCUCCGCUUGUCUGUGCAGUUUACUGGGAGAAAUCAAUGUUCAUUUGAGAGUUAGUAACCCUGGUGAUCUACUCCUUUUGACUUGUCCUGUCCAAACAUGAGGAAUCUUCAAGAAUGAUGGAAAAGUAGAUGGUUUACCAAAACUCACUGAAAGUGCUGUUAUUGUUGACAUGUCUUUAUCAUCUGAUGUCCUUUAAGGCCUAAAGGGUUGUUCCUCCACUAUUCCUUUUCAUUGUCAGAACUCAGUAGUGUCAUAUGCAGGAGGAAAUUUGAAACAAGUAGAUUACACUAUUGCUUAGCACUCAUUUUGUUGUACAAUGACGUUGCUGAAGUCCUUUUAUUGUUAGUUGCUGCUGUCAAGGACCAUGAUGCUUGCAUCGUCCUCACAUCCACCAUCUGGUGGACAAUGGAAAUGUUAACACAUGCUACAACGAGCUCUAGGCCAACCAACUAAUAAGUUCCAUAAUAUAAUUUAAAUUUGACUACGCUAGUCUGUGUCCUUUGUUAGUUCAUGAAUACUAUCAGUUAACCUAAACAUGCGGUCUUUAUUAACAACAUUGCAUUAUUAUUUACUUUCACGCCAUCCUGCUAACUUUGGUUAUUGUCUGUAAAUUAUGAAAAUAUUGCUUCAAGACUAUGCUUCAUGGUUAUUGUAGAGGAGCUCUACUGCUCAGGUGCUACACAAACGGAAGCAUUCCGUGGAUACUGAAGGUGCCCUUGCAGUUGCAGAACACA